GACGAACGCUGGCGGCGUGCUUAACACAUGCCAGUCGAACGGAAAGGCCCCUUUGGGGGUACUCGAGUGGCGAACGGGUGAGUAACACGUGAGUAACCUGCCCUUGACUUCGGGAUAACUUCAGGAAACUGGGGCUAAUACCGGAUAGGAAUCCUUGCUGCAUGGUGGGGGUUGGAAAGCUUCGGCGGUUUUGGAUGGACUCGGGGCUUAUAAGCUUGUUGGUGGGGUAGUGGCUUACCAAGGCUUUGACGGGUCGCCGGCCUGAGAGGGCGACCGGCCACAUUGGGACUGAGAUACGGCCCAGACGCCGAAGGGAGGCAGAAGGGGGGAAUAUUGCACAAGGGGCGGAAGCCGGAUGAAGAAACGCCGCGGGCGGGAUGACGGCCUUCGGGUUGAAAACCGGUUUCAGCAGGGGCGAAGCUUGUGGUGACGGUACCUGAAGAAGAAGCACCGGCUAACUACGUG
This 465-nucleotide ribosomal RNA is filed under the name uncultured bacterium. RNAcentral's name for it is "partial 16S ribosomal RNA". It matches the Rfam family "Bacterial small subunit ribosomal RNA", at positions 28 to 507 of the family's 1533-position model. The record is from RNAcentral.